UGGGGAAUAUUGGACAAUGGGCGAAAGCCUGAUCCAGCCAUGCCGCGUGUGUGAAGAAGGUCUUCGGAUUGUAAAGCACUUUAAGUUGGGAGGAAGGGCAGUUACCUAAUACGUGAUUGUCUUGACGUUACCGACAGAAUAAGCACCGGCUAACUCUGUGCCAGCAGCCGCGGUAAUACAGAGGGUGCAAGCGUUAAUCGGAAUUACUGGGCGUAAAGCGCGCGUAGGUGGUUUGUUAAGUUGGACGUGAAGUCCCCGGGCUCAACCUGGGAACUGCAUUCAAAAACUGACAGGCUAGAGUAUGGUAGAGGGUGGUGGAAUUUCCUGUGUAGCGUGAAAUGCGUAGAUAUAGGAAGGAACACCAGUGGCGAAGGCGACCACCUGGACUGAUACUGACACUNAGGUGCGAAAGCGUGGGGAGCAAAACAGGAUUAGAUACCCUGGUAGUCCACGCCGUAAAAACGAUGNCAACUAGCCGUUGGGAGCCUUGAGCUCUUAGUGGCGCAGCUAAACCAUUAAGUUGACCGCCUGGGGAGUACGGCCGCAAGGUUAAAAAC
RNAcentral lists this ribosomal RNA (557 nucleotides) under uncultured bacterium. RNAcentral describes it as "partial 16S ribosomal RNA". It matches the Rfam family "Bacterial small subunit ribosomal RNA", at positions 355 to 900 of the family's 1533-position model. The record is from RNAcentral.